CCUUAAUGUGUUUUUCAGCCUCUGCUUCAGUUGGCGACGGAAGCACGGGAUUCUUCAUAGCUGCUCCUGCAUGUUAAAAGUCUACUUCGAAAACUGGGCUGGUCAGAUUCAAGGAAUCGACUCUUUUGGAGUCGACUCCUCAUCAGUACUGCGCAUGUGCUUACAAAUCAUCACAUCGACGCGCACGUGGAAGUGAUCGCCGCGGGAAAACUGAGUUUGUCUAGUUCCUCCAUGGUUGUGAGAGGGAAGACAUCAUCCUCGCUGUCCACCACUGGAGCACUGGAAUGGUUGUUUGCUGCAAGG
Carassius auratus (goldfish) is the source of this 303-nucleotide long non-coding RNA. RefSeq lists it as uncharacterized. The record is from RefSeq and is a predicted model, not a curated record. The transcript has 3 exons. Lineage: Eukaryota; Metazoa; Chordata; Actinopteri; Cypriniformes; Cyprinidae.